UGCCAGCCGCCGCGGUAAUACGGAGGGUGCAAGCGUUGUUCGGAAUUAUUGGGCGUAAAGCGCGUGUAGGCGGUUCGGCAAGUCGGAUGUGAAAGCCCGGGGCUCAACCCCGGAAAUGCAUUCGAUACUGCCGAGCUAGAGUCCCGGAGAGGAUGGCGGAAUUCCCGGUGUAGAGGUGAAAUUCGUAGAUAUCAGGAGGAACACCGAUGGCGAAGGCAUCUCUCUGGGUCGAUAUUGACGCUGAGGCGCGAAGGCGUGGGUAGCGAACGGGAUUAGAUA
This 279-nucleotide ribosomal RNA is filed under the name uncultured bacterium. RNAcentral describes it as "partial 16S ribosomal RNA". It matches the Rfam family "Bacterial small subunit ribosomal RNA", at positions 506 to 784 of the family's 1533-position model. The record is from RNAcentral.